AUAAAAGUGUCGGAAAAGUAAAAUUUAUAAUAUUAAUCAUUAUAUAUGUCUAUGCUUUUUACUAAUUUUUUUGAGGAUAAGCUCAAAAAAAAGUUAAGGUUUGUUUUUAAUUAAAUCUGCUGUGUAGAUUUAAAAUUGACCAUCACAAAAGUUUUUUAUAAAAUAGUAAUCUUAAUUUUGUAAAUAAAUAUAAUUUAAACUAACUUUCUACGGAGAUAAAAACUUUAAUUAAAAUGAGUUUUUAUGCCUAUGCUAGAAUGAGUAUUAAAAACUAAUUACAAGAGAAAUCUGUAGACAUAUUUUCUCUAGAAAAUUUUAUUUAAAAAAAUUAAUUAAUUAGAAGGAACUCGGCAAAUUUAGUUGUUCCGCCUGUUUAUCAAAAACAUGGCUCUUUGAUUAUAUAAAUAUAAAGAGUCGAGCCUGCCCAGUGAAAAUUUUUUUAACGGCCGCGGUACUCUGACCGUGCAAAGGUAGCAUAAUCAUUUGCCUUAUAAUUGAAGGCUAGUAUGAAUGGUUUGACGAGAACAAUGCUGUCUCCUUAUUAUUUUCAAGAAUUUAACUUUUAGGUGAAGAGGCCUAAAUUUUAUUGAAGGACAAGAAGACCCUGUCGAGCUUAAAAGAUAUUGCAGAGUCUUAUAUACUUUUAAAUAAAUUUCUACUAAGCUUUUUAGUUGGGGCGACUAAGGAACAAAAAAAGCUUCUUACUAAAAAUAAACAAUCAUGUUUAGAUCCGACAAUAAUCGAUUAAAGAAAUUAGUUACCGCAGGGAUAACAGCAUAAUCUUUCUUAAGAGACCUAAUCGAAAGAAGGGGUUGUGACCUCGAUGUUGGACUAGAAUAUCCUAAAGAUGCAGAAGUCUUUAAAGG
RNAcentral lists this ribosomal RNA (866 nucleotides) under Semisulcospira kurodai. RNAcentral describes it as "partial 16S ribosomal RNA". The stretch from base 324 to 580 matches the Rfam family "Archaeal large subunit ribosomal RNA", at positions 1787 to 2143 of the family's 2987-position model. Lineage: Eukaryota; Metazoa; Mollusca; Gastropoda; Semisulcospiridae. The record is from RNAcentral.